GAGUUUGAUUAUGGCUCAGAUUGAACGCUGGCGGCAUGCUUUACACAUGCAAGUCGAACGGCAGCACGGAAGAGCUUGCUCUUUUGGUGGCGAGUGGCGAACGGGUGAGUAACGCAUCGGAACGUACCGAGUAGUGGGGGAUAACUGUCCGAAAGGAUGGCUAAUACCGCAUAUUCUCUGAGGAGGAAAGCAGAGGACCUUCGGGCCUUGCGCUAUUUGAGCGGCCGAUGUCUGAUUAGCUAGUUGGUGGGGUAAAGGCCUACCAAGGCGACGAUCAGUAGCGGGUCUGAGAGGAUGAUCCGCCACACUGGGACUGAGACACGGCCCAGACUCCUACGGGAGGCAGCAGUGGGGAAUUUUGGACAAUGGGGGGAACCCUGAUCCAGCCAUGCCGCGUGUCUGAAGAAGGCCUUCGGGUUGUAAAGGACUUUUGUCAGGGAAGAAAAGCUUGAGGUUAAAACCCU
RNAcentral lists this ribosomal RNA (464 nucleotides) under Neisseria animaloris. RNAcentral's name for it is "bacterial SSU rRNA". It matches the Rfam family "Bacterial small subunit ribosomal RNA", at positions 9 to 470 of the family's 1533-position model. The record is from RNAcentral. Lineage: Bacteria; Pseudomonadati; Pseudomonadota; Betaproteobacteria; Neisseriales; Neisseriaceae.